CGGGUAGCCGGCCUGAGAGGGUGACCGGCCACACUGGGACUGAGACACGGCCCAGACUCCUACGGGAGGCAGCAGUGGGGAAUAUUGCACAAUGGGCGAAAGCCUGAUGCAGCGACGCCGCGUGAGGGAUGACGGCCUUCGGGUUGUAAACCUCUUUCAGUAGGGAAGAAGCGAAAGUGACGGUACCUGCAGAAGAAGCGCCGGCUAACUACGUGCCAGCAGCCGCGGUAAUACGUAGGGCGCAAGCGUUAUCCGGAAUUAUUGGGCGUAAAGAGCUCGUAGGCGGUUUGUCGCGUCUGCCGUGAAAGUCCGGGGCUCAACUCCGGAUCUGCGGUGGGUACGGGCAGACUAGAGUGAUGUAGGGGAGACUGGAAUUCCUGGUGUAGCGGUGAAAUGCGCAGAUAUCAGGAGGAACACCGAUGGCGAAGGCAGGUCUCUGGGCAUUAACUGACGCUGAGGAGCGAAAGCAUGGGGAGCGAACAGGAUUAGAUACCCUGGUAGUCCAUGCCGUAAACGUUGGGCACUAGGUGUGGGGGACAUUCCACGUUUUCCGCGCCGUAGCUAACGCAUUAAGUGCCCCGCC
Molecule: ribosomal RNA, 583 nt
Filed under: Arthrobacter sp. SM-8
Lineage: Bacteria; Bacillati; Actinomycetota; Actinomycetes; Micrococcales; Micrococcaceae
Description: bacterial SSU rRNA
Rfam family: Bacterial small subunit ribosomal RNA
Source: RNAcentral